This 1556-nucleotide ribosomal RNA is filed under the name Triticum aestivum (bread wheat). Its description in RNAcentral is "partial small subunit ribosomal RNA". Lineage: Eukaryota; Viridiplantae; Streptophyta; Magnoliopsida; Poales; Poaceae. The record is from RNAcentral.
GUGGCACUGGCUUGAGGCGGGGGAGCGGCUGAUGCAGGGUUGGAUCGAGGCAUGGGAGCGACGGAUGCGGGCGUCGACCUGCGAAGAGGCGAGAGGAGCGGUGGUUGCGGCGUUGAGCUGCGAAGAGGUGCCGCUCGGGCGCGAGACCACAGAGGCGGGAGCGGCUGCUUCGGGCCCCGGCCGUCUCAUUCACCGAUGACGGCCUCCUUGGCCUCAACAUCAAGGGCCGCCUUCUCGCAGAGAAGAACUUCAAGCUGGUACAGUAGAAUCACUGCCCAUUCCCCCAACCAUCAGCAUUUGCCUUCAUGGCCAUAACCAUCUUGAUUUUGUAUUACCUGUACCUAAACCUGAACCUUGUCGUUCCUCUAUUCCUGCCUGCCUGCAGAAGAGGAAGAGCGGCGCCGUCGAGUUCGCCUAGACCAUACUCGACUUCAGAAAGGGCCAAGACGUCAGGAUCAAGGCCGGAUACGAGCUCUAUCGCAAGGUACAAAGCUGAAAUGCUUGAUGAUGCGCCUCGUAUAUUCGAGGCUGUUUUCCAGUGUACCCUUGAGUUCUGCACUAUGCUCUGCUGGAUGUCGCCUAAGCAGAGGAUGCGGCAGUCUCGGCCACAUUUGGUUUUCCUAAGCUAAUGUGGGGUUUCUUUCCCUUAUAUUCUUGCAAGAUGUGGUAAUAUGUUUCAUGCCGUCUCCUGUUCGAUGAAAUGCCUGUGAGCUGAAACAUUUUGCAUUGCAUGUUUCUCUGCCUGUGCAGGUUCUUUGUUGGUUCGUUCGACCAUGCCGUUAACCAACAAGGUUAGGUCUAUUCAGAUUGCCUUGGGUUAUUACUUCUUGAUAAUAUAGGCCGUGAACUCCUGCAUUUGUGCGGCUAGGUUGCCUGUCUAUGUGUUUCGGGGUUCACCUUAUUAUGCUUGUCGUGCUUUGUAUGGGUUUUCCUUCAGAUCUUGUUAGAAAAAAAAUGUGUUCUUGAUUACUUAUGCUUGUCUUGGUGGUUUUCUUCCUGGGUGAUUGUGUGCUCAUAUGCCAUUGGUCGAUAUCCAUGUUUACAGAGGAUGCCCACUUUUCUUAGUUUCAUACCGAUUCUUAAUAGUCUUGCAAUGCCUGCUCGGGUUAGUUCUUUAAAUGAGUAGAGAUAAUAAAUGUAUGGGGGUUCCGAUAUCAAAUGUACCACCUGGUUAUUGUUUACCCAACUAAUACGUGCUGCUUGGUGAUAAAGGAAAAACAGCUAGAAAAAUAAUUAAUAAAGUGUACCAUCUGCUUAUUGUUUUAUACACAGUCGCUUGAUUCUUUUGUUCCUCUAUAGGCCUCUGAUCAUGUCUGCAGUGUGCGGCUAGGUUGUUCGUCCGUCUGGGUCGUAGCUUCUUUCCUUCCUGCCAACGGCGGGUACAAGACUCGAGCGGUUAAUGGGCAAGCACUAUAUGCACCAUUCAUCUAUGCUAAUAUAGCCUGUUUUGUAAAGCCAAUGUAUGCUAUCACCAAGUGAUCUGAAUAUUUUCUUUCAAGCAUCAAGCUUUCGUGUAAUGGAAUAUAAGUAUUUUAAGUUGAUUCUAAAUCAAUCUC